This 1136-nucleotide ribosomal RNA is filed under the name Microbacterium aquimaris. RNAcentral's name for it is "bacterial SSU rRNA". It matches the Rfam family "Bacterial small subunit ribosomal RNA", at positions 185 to 1332 of the family's 1533-position model. Lineage: Bacteria; Bacillati; Actinomycetota; Actinomycetes; Micrococcales; Microbacteriaceae. The record is from RNAcentral.
AUCGCAUGGUGGGGGUUGGAAAGAUUUUUCGGUUUGGGAUGGGCUCGCGGCCUAUCAGCUUGUUGGUGAGGUAAUGGCUCACCAAGGCGUCGACGGGUAGCCGGCCUGAGAGGGUGACCGGCCACACUGGGACUGAGACACGGCCCAGACUCCUACGGGAGGCAGCAGUGGGGAAUAUUGCACAAUGGGCGCAAGCCUGAUGCAGCAACGCCGCGUGAGGGAUGACGGCCUUCGGGUUGUAAACCUCUUUUGGUAGGGAAGAAGCCUUCGGGUGACGGUACCUGCAGAAAAAGCGCCGGCUAACUACGUGCCAGCAGCCGCGGUAAUACGUAGGGCGCAAGCGUUAUCCGGAAUUAUUGGGCGUAAAGAGCUCGUAGGCGGUCUGUCGCGUCUGCUGUGAAAUUCCGAGGCUCAACCUCGGGCUUGCAGUGGGUACGGGCAGACUAGAGUGCGGUAGGGGAGAUUGGAAUUCCUGGUGUAGCGGUGGAAUGCGCAGAUAUCAGGAGGAACACCGAUGGCGAAGGCAGAUCUCUGGGCCGUUACUGACGCUGAGGAGCGAAAGGGUGGGGAGCAAACAGGCUUAGAUACCCUGGUAGUCCACCCCGUAAACGUUGGGAACUAGUUGUGGGGUCCUUUCCACGGAUUCCGUGACGUAGCUAACGCAUUAAGUUCCCCGCCUGGGGAGUACGGCCGCAAGGCUAAAACUCAAAGGAAUUGACGGGGACCCGCACAAGCGGCGGAGCAUGCGGAUUAAUUCGAUGCAACGCGAAGAACCUUACCAAGGCUUGACAUACACCAGAACGGGCCAGAAAUGGUCAACUCUUUGGACACUGGUGAACAGGUGGUGCAUGGUUGUCGUCAGCUCGUGUCGUGAGAUGUUGGGUUAAGUCCCGCAACGAGCGCAACCCUCGUUCUAUGUUGCCAGCACGUUAUGGUGGGAACUCAUGGGAUACUGCCGGGGUCAACUCGGAGGAAGGUGGGGAUGACGUCAAAUCAUCAUGCCCCUUAUGUCUUGGGCUUCACGCAUGCUACAAUGGCCGGUACAAUGGGCUGCGAUACCGCGAGGUGGAGCGAAUCCCAAAAAGCCGGUCCCAGUUCGGAUUGAGGUCUGCAACUCGACCUCAUGAAGUCGGAGU